UUGACCUCGGAUCAGGUAGGGUUACCCGCUGAACUUAAGCAUAUCAAUAA
RNAcentral lists this ribosomal RNA (50 nucleotides) under Talaromyces phialosporus. RNAcentral describes it as "partial 28S ribosomal RNA". The record is from RNAcentral. Lineage: Eukaryota; Fungi; Ascomycota; Eurotiomycetes; Eurotiales; Trichocomaceae.